UUUAACUGAGCGUUCAGUUACUUGACGUAGACCCGAAACCGGGCGACCUACCCAUGAGCAGGAUGAAGCGAAAGUAAAAUUUCGUGGAGGUCCGAACCCACGAGCGUUGAAAAGCUCGGGGAUGACUUGUGGGUAGCGGUGAAAUUCCAAUCGAGCCCGGAGAUAGCUGGUUCUCCCCGAAAUAGCUUUAGGGCUAGCCUCAAGGUGAGAGAUACGGAGGUAGAGCACUGAAUGUCCUAGGGGGUAUUGCACCUACCGAAGACUAUCAAACUCCGAAUGCCGUCAUCUUAUACUUGGGAGUCAGACUGUGGGUGAUAAGAUUCAUAGUCGAAAGGGCAACAGCCCAGAUCGUCAGCUAAGGUCCCUAAAUGUAAGUUAAGUGGUAAAGGAUGUGGGAUUGCACAGACAACCAGGAUGUUGGCUUAGAAGCAGCCACUCAUUCAAAGAGUGCGUAAUAGCUCACUGGUCGAGUGAUCCUGCGCCGAAGAUUUCCGGGGCUAAAACUUACUACCGAAGCUACGGCAUCAGUAAUGAUGGGUAGGGGAGCUUCCCAUACGGGUUGAAGCAUGACCGUAAGGACAUGUGGACAGUAUGGGAGUGAGAAUGUUGGCAUGAGUAGCGAGAUGUGGGUGAGAAUCCCACAGGCCGUAA
This 651-nucleotide ribosomal RNA is filed under the name Clostridioides difficile. RNAcentral's name for it is "partial 23S ribosomal RNA". It matches the Rfam family "Bacterial large subunit ribosomal RNA", at positions 683 to 1342 of the family's 2925-position model. Lineage: Bacteria; Bacillati; Bacillota; Clostridia; Peptostreptococcales; Peptostreptococcaceae. The record is from RNAcentral.